UUAAGUUAUUAAGGGCGCACGGUGGAUGCCUUGGCACUAGAAGCCGAUGAAGGACGUUACUAACGACGAUAUGCUUUGGGGAGCUGUAAGUAAGCUUUGAUCCAGAGAUUUCCGAAUGGGGAAACCCAGCAUGAGUUAUGUCAUGUUAUCGAUAUGUGAAUACAUAGCAUAUCAGAAGGCACACCCGGAGAACUGAAACAUCUUAGUACCCGGAGGAAGAGAAAGAAAAUUCGAUUCCCUUAGUAGCGGCGAGCGAAACGGGAAGAGCCCAAACCAACAAGCUUGCUUGUUGGGGUUGUAGGACACUCUAUACGGAGUUACAAAGGACGACAUUAGACGAAUCAUCUGGAAAGAUGAAUCAAAGAAGGUAAUAAUCCUGUAGUCGAAAAUGUUGUCUCUCUUGAGUGGAUCCUGAGUACGACGGAGCACGUGAAAUUCCGUCGGAAUCUGGGAGGACCAUCUCCUAAGGCUAAAUACUCUCUAGUGACCGAUAGUGAACCAGUACCGUGAGGGAAAGGUGAAAAGCACCCCGGAAGGGGAGUGAAAUAGAACCUGAAACCGUGUGCUUACAAGUAGUCAGAGCCCGUUAAUGGGUGAUGGCGUGCCUUUUGUAGAAUGAACCGGCGAGUUACGAUUUGAUGCAAGGUUAAGCAGUAAAUGUGGAGCCGUAGCGAAAGCGAGUCUGAAUAGGGCGUUUAGUAUUUGGUCGUAGACCCGAAACCAGGUGAUCUACCCUUGGUCAGGUUGAAGUUCAGGUAACACUGAAUGGAGGACCGAACCGACUUACGUUGAAAAGUGAGCGGAUGAACUGAGGGUAGCGGAGAAAUUCCAAUCGAACCUGGAGAUAGCUGGUUCUCUCCGAAAUAGCUUUAGGGCUAGCCUCAAGUGAUGAUUAUUGGAGGUAGAGCACUGUUUGGACGAGGGGCCCCUCUCGGGUUACCGAAUUCAGACAAACUCCGAAUGCCAAUUAAUUUAACUUGGGAGUCAGAACAUGGGUGAUAAGGUCCGUGUUCGAAAGGGAAACAGCCCAGACCACCAGCUAAGGUCCCAAAAUAUAUGUUAAGUGGAAAAGGAUGUGGCGUUGCCCAGACAACUAGGAUGUUGGCUUAGAAGCAGCCAUCAUUUAAAGAGUGCGUAAUAGCUCACUAGUCGAGUGACACUGCGCCGAAAAUGUACCGGGGCUAAACAUAUUACCGAAGCUGUGGAUUGUCCUUUGGACAAUGGUAGGAGAGCGUUCUAAGGGCGUUGAAGCAUGAUCGUAAGGACAUGUGGAGCGCUUAGAAGUGAGAAUGCCGGUGUGAGUAGCGAAAGACGGGUGAGAAUCCCGUCCACCGAUUGACUAAGGUUUCCAGAGGAAGGCUCGUCCGCUCUGGGUUAGUCGGGUCCUAAGCUGAGGCCGACAGGCGUAGGCGAUGGAUAACAGGUUGAUAUUCCUGUACCACCUAUAAUCGUUUUAAUCGAUGGGGGGNGGGGGGACGCAGUAGGAUAGGCGAAGCGUGCGAUUGGAUUGCACGUCUAAGCAGUAAGGCUGAGUAUUAGGCAAAUCCGGUACUCGUUAAGGCUGAGCUGUGAUGGGGAGAAGACAUUGUGUCUUCGAGUCGUUGAUUUCACACUGCCGAGAAAAGCCUCUAGAUAGAAAAUAGGUGCCCGUACCGCAAACCGACACAGGUAGUCAAGAUGAGAAUUCUAAGGUGAGCGAGCGAACUCUCGUUAAGGAACUCGGCAAAAUGACCCCGUAACUUCGGGAGAAGGGGUGCUCUUUAGGGUUAACGCCCAGAAGAGCCGCAGUGAAUAGGCCCAAGCGACUGUUUAUCAAAAACACAGGUCUCUGCUAAACCGUAAGGUGAUGUAUAGGGGCUGACGCCUGCCCGGUGCUGGAAGGUUAAGAGGAGUGGUUAGCUUCUGCGAAGCUACGAAUCGAAGCCCCAGUAAACGGCGGCCGUAACUAUAACGGUCCUAAGGUAGCGAAAUUCCUUGUCGGGUAAGUUCCGACCCGCACGAAAGGCGUAACGAUUUGGGCACUGUCUCAACGAGAGACUCGGUGAAAUCAUAGUACCUGUGAAGAUGCAGGUUACCCGCGACAGGACGGAAAGACCCCGUGGAGCUUUACUGUAGCCUGAUAUUGAAAUUCGGCACAGCUUGUACAGGAUAGGUAGGAGCCUUUGAAACGUGAGCGCUAGCUUACGUGGAGGCGCUGGUGGGAUACUACCCUAGCUGUGUUGGCUUUCUAACCCGCACCACUUAUCGUGGUGGGAGACAGUGUCAGGCGGGCAGUUUGACUGGGGCGGUCGCCUCCUAAAAGGUAACGGAGGCGCUCAAAGGUUCCCUCAGAAUGGUUGGAAAUCAUUCAUAGAGUGUAAAGGCAUAAGGGAGCUUGACUGCGAGACCUACAAGUCGAGCAGGGUCGAAAGACGGACUUAGUGAUCCGGUGGUUCCGCAUGGAAGGGCCAUCGCUCAACGGAUAAAAGCUACCCCGGGGAUAACAGGCUUAUCUCCCCCAAGAGUUCACAUCGACGGGGAGGUUUGGCACCUCGAUGUCGGCUCAUCGCAUCCUGGGGCUGUAGUCGGUCCCAAGGGUUGGGCUGUUCGCCCAUUAAAGCGGUACGCGAGCUGGGUUCAGAACGUCGUGAGACAGUUCGGUCCCUAUCCGUCGUGGGCGUAGGAAAUUUGAGAGGAGCUGUCCUUAGUACGAGAGGACCGGGAUGGACAUACCUCUGGUGUACCAGUUGUCGUGCCAACGGCAUAGCUGGGUAGCUAUGUGUGGACGGGAUAAGUGCUGAAAGCAUCUAAGCAUGAAGCCCCCCUCAAGAUGAGAUUUCCCAACUUCGGUUAUAAGAUCCCUCAAAGAUGAUGAGGUUAAUAGGUUCGAGGUGGAAGCAUGGUGACAUGUGGAGCUGACGAAUACUAAUCGAUCGAAGACUUAAUCAA
RNAcentral lists this ribosomal RNA (2928 nucleotides) under Staphylococcus aureus. RNAcentral describes it as "bacterial LSU rRNA". It matches the Rfam family "Bacterial large subunit ribosomal RNA". The record is from RNAcentral. Lineage: Bacteria; Bacillati; Bacillota; Bacilli; Caryophanales; Staphylococcaceae.